RNAcentral lists this ribosomal RNA (400 nucleotides) under uncultured bacterium. RNAcentral's name for it is "bacterial SSU rRNA". It matches the Rfam family "Bacterial small subunit ribosomal RNA", at positions 355 to 752 of the family's 1533-position model. The record is from RNAcentral.
UAAGGAAUAUUGGUCAAUGCCCGGAAGGGUGAACCAGCCACGCCGCGUGGAGGAUGAAGGCGCUAUGCGUUGUAAACUUCUUUAGAAUGGGAAGAAAGUUGAAUAUUAAUAUUCAUUUGACGGUACCAUUAGAAUAAGCACCGGCUAACUCCGUGCCAGCAGCCGCGGUAAUACGGAGGGUGCGAGCGUUAUCCGGAAUCACUGGGUUUAAAGGGUGCGUAGGCGGUGACGUAAGUCAGUGGUGAAAGGUGUCGGCUUAACCGACGAACUGCCAUUGAUACUGCGUUGCUAGAAUUGAGAUGAGGUAACUGGAAUGUGACAAGUAGCGGUGAAAUGCAUAGAUAUGUCAUAGAAUACCGAUUGCGAAGGCAGGUUACUGGACUCAUAUUGACGCUGAGGC